GUGGGGAAUCUUAGACAAUGGGGGAAACCCUGAUCUAGCCAUGCCGCGUGAUCGAUGAAGGCCUUAGGGUUGUAAAGAUCUUUCAGGUGGGAAGAUAAUGACUGUACCACCAGAAGAAGCCCCGGCUAACUCCGUGCCAGCAGCCGCGGUAAUACGGAGGGGGCUAGCGUUGUUCGGAAUUACUGGGCGUAAAGCGCACGUAGGCGGAUUGGAAAGUUGGGGGUGAAAUCACGGGGCUCAACACCGGAACUGCCUUCAAAACUCCCAGUCUUGAGUUCGAGAGAGGUGAGUGGAAGUCCGAGUGUAGAGGUGAAAUGCGUAGAGAAUCGGAGGAACACCAGUGGCGAAGGCGGCUCACUGGCACGAUACUGACGCUGAGGUGCGAAAGCGUGGGGAGCAAACAGGAUUAGAAACCCGGGUAGUCC
This 425-nucleotide ribosomal RNA is filed under the name uncultured bacterium. RNAcentral describes it as "partial 16S ribosomal RNA". It matches the Rfam family "Bacterial small subunit ribosomal RNA", at positions 354 to 796 of the family's 1533-position model. The record is from RNAcentral.